Molecule: ribosomal RNA, 253 nt
Filed under: uncultured bacterium
Lineage: Bacteria
Description: partial 16S ribosomal RNA
Rfam family: Bacterial small subunit ribosomal RNA
Source: RNAcentral
GACGUAGGGCGCGAGCGUUGUCCGGAUUUAUUGGGCGUAAAGAGCUCGUAGGCGGCUUGUCGCGUCGUUCGUGAAAACCCGGGGCUCAACUCCGGGCUUGCGGGCGAUACGGGCAGGCUAGAGUUCGGUAGGGGAGACUGGAAUUCCUGGUGUAGCGGUGAAAUGCGCAGAUAUCAGGAGGAACACCGGUGGCGAAGGCGGGGCUCUGGGCCGAUACUGACGCUGAGGAGCGAAAGCGUGGGGAGCGAACAGG